This 324-nucleotide ribosomal RNA is filed under the name uncultured eukaryote. RNAcentral's name for it is "partial 18S ribosomal RNA". It matches the Rfam family "Eukaryotic small subunit ribosomal RNA", at positions 1470 to 1796 of the family's 1831-position model. The record is from RNAcentral.
CCCUUAGAUGUUCUGGGCUGCACGCGCGCUACACUGAUGCGAUCAACAAGUUUUUCCUAUGUCGAUAGACACGGAUAAUCUUUUGAACUCGCAUCGUGAUGGGGAUAGAUUAUUGUAAUUAUUAAUCUUCAACGAGGAAUUCCUAGUAGGUGCAAAUCAUCAGUUUGCAUCGAUUACGUCCCUGCCCUUUGUACACACCGCCCGUCGCUGCUACCGAUUGGUUGAUCUGGUGAAUUAUUCGGACUGCCGGCUGAAGGGGUUUCCUCAUCUGCCAGCGGAAAGUCUUGUUAACCCUAUCAACUAGAGGAAGCAGAAGUCGUAACA